ACCCUAGAUAAAGUACUUUCUCUCUGCAGGUACUACCCCAGUGGAGAUGCCUUUGCUUCAGGGUCAGAUGAUGCUACGUGUCGCCUCUAUGACCUGCGGGCAGACAGGGAGGUUGCCAUCUAUUCCAAAGAAAGUAUCAUAUUUGGAGCAUCCAGCGUGGACUUCUCCCUCAGUGGUAAGAUUUUAUUUCAGAAACUUUUCCCAGGACUGUAAGACAGGACCAGAAUGAAACUAGCGCUCCAUCAUCACUCAGUUCCUUUUCAUCAACUGAGCUUCCUGUGGACCAGUAUGCGAAAUCAUCCAUAUUUGCACGAGUUUUCCUCCUCUGAGCUUCUGACCUCCCACUUUGCCUUGCCCCAGGCAACUUCACUCCAGGGGGAAAUGAAGGCUGUAUACAACCUAAUGCUGUCCUUCAAGGCAAUGAAGUGUCAGAAAUUCACUUCCACAGUGCUCUCAGGCAUUUUCUCCCCAGCCUUUGCUUCUCUUCAUGCCCCAAAGGGAACUUUUCUGUAAGGUGGAGGUGAAGCAGGAGUCCCUUCUCGGCCGGACACUGUGGCUCACGCCUGUAAUCCCGGCACUUUGGGAGGCUGAGGCAGGCGAUCACUUGAGCUCAGGAGUUAAGCCUGGCCAACACAGUGAAACCUUGUCUCUACUAAAAAUACAAAAAUUGGUUGGGCGUGGUGGCGCAUGCCUGUAAUCCCAGCUACUCGGGAGGCUGAGGCAGGAGAAUCGCUUGAACCUGGGAAAUGGAGCUUGCAGUGAGCUGAGUUUGUGCCACUGCACUCCACCCUGGGCAACAGAGCGAGACUCUGACUCAAAGGGGAAAAAAAAAUGAGUCCCUUCUCAGUGCCCUGAAGCUCAUGGCUCAUUUGUGGGAAGCUGCUAGUGAAAAAGCAUAGCUCCAGAAGGAUCAUGUCAAAGAAAGAAAGAAAAAUAGAAAGUUAAAGCAGAGGUUACAGUGAGCCAAGAUCAUCCCACUGCACUUCAGCCUGGGCAACAGAGCAAGACUCUGUCUCAA
Molecule: small RNA, 1018 nt
Filed under: Pongo abelii (Sumatran orangutan)
Lineage: Eukaryota; Metazoa; Chordata; Mammalia; Primates; Hominidae
Description: retained intron
Source: RNAcentral